Gopherus agassizii (Agassiz's desert tortoise) is the source of this 882-nucleotide long non-coding RNA. The record is from Ensembl. NCBI's taxonomy places the organism in Eukaryota, Metazoa, Chordata, Testudines, Testudinidae.
CACUUUCGGUUCCCCAGCUGGCAGGCCAGAGCUCUGGGAAGGGGUUGGGGUGCACGUACUUGGGCUGAGGACUCAGCGCUGCUCGGGCCAGGCUCGUGGCGCCUGGGGGCAGCUACUUCCCAGGACUUCUCGGUACUUCCUGCCCUGCCGGGCACAGCGUGGUGGGGCGGGAGAGACCAACGGGUUCCUACUGCAGGAGGCGCCGCCAGCGUCCCUCGCGGCUCCCCUGCAACGAGGGGCGGGCCCGAGGGCGCCUCCCCCCUGCCCGCCGUUGGUCCGCUCCCGGAGCCAAUAGGGCGUCGCGCCCAGUGCGGGUUCGGGGGCAGAGCCCAGUGCGGAGUUUGCGCCGCGGCAGCGCGGGGCGCAGUAUGGGGCAGUGUCAGUGACCGCGCGGAGAGCGCUGCUGCGGCCAACCCGCCUCCGCCAGGCCAGCGUCCCUCCUCCCGCGGCUGCAAAGUUCACUCUCCCCGCGGGUCCCAGGGCGACUGCCGCUCCCUCCCCCCGCCAGGAGCCGGCGGCUCGUUUCCUCUUUCGCUCCUCGCCCGCCUCUCUCUGAUCGCAGUCGCCGAGCAGCAGCAGCCCCAGCAGCGAGCGCUUCGCUUCGCGCGGUCCGGCGAGGGAGCUUCCCACCCCGGCAGCCGGAGCGCGGCGAGACCAGCCCAGCCCCAGGACCUGGCAAGUGAAUGCCUCUGAAUUGCUCUGAGGAGAUUCAAGAUAAGAGGUAAGGGUGUUUUUUUCUUCCUCCCCUCCUCCCCCAGCUUCUGCCCCAUUCAAGGCACCCAAUGAUAUGAAAGAACAGAAAAUGUAAGCCUCAAAACUUGGCUUGCAGCAAGUACUAAUUCUCUGCAUUGAGCCAAAUUUGGGGUCACACUUAUGGUCAGG